GCUUAUGUUUUUCAUAGAACUUAAUGAUUCUUGCGUGUAUCUCUAUUAUGCAAUUCACGUAGGGAACUUGUAGGGAAUGUUUUGGGUUGUCUGAUAGGAGCAUAUUUAUGCGCCUUAGUUAGCUAGUUCUUAUGCAUUUUCUUUAUGUUUUCUUCGUUAAAGUAGUCUUUUGAGCUACUUUCAUGUGUUUUCAGGCUUAAAGGGCAUAUGACAUAAAAGGAUGCAAAUUGGAGCCUUUUGGAGCAAAAUGGAGCUUAGAUUGGAAAGUACAUGCUUGGAGCACAAGGAAUGGACGAGUUUGAAGGGCAAAGGAGCUUAAGAAAUGAAGAAAUGAAUGUGAAGAACAAAGAAUUCAGAAUUAGAAACCAAAGUUUCUAAAGUUGGAAGUUUCUAUUCUUGGAGGUUUCCAUUUGUGAGAGUUUCUAUUCUUGGCGUUGGGCUUUUUGAUGACCUAUCCUUACCUCUUGGACUUGAGCCACACUUCCUAGCCCAUUCUCUCUUAAAUUCUGACUUAUUAGGGCCUUUAGUUGUGGAUUUGGGUUAUACAAAUCCCUGUUUAAAACUAAGUGGACCUAAGCCCUAAUUCUUUGUGGAUAUUCACCCUCUGCCGUACCUAAACCCUAGCCCAUUUCCAAAUCUGAUCUCCCUAACCCUAUGCCGCACCUAGGGUUUUAAAUAUCUGAUUUCCUUGCCUUGCAAGGCAUUCUAGAAGCCUAAACCCUAGCCCACUAAACCAGCCGAACCCUAGGCCUUUUCCCUUGCAAAUUCUGAUUGUUUUAACCUAUUUUCUGGUGGAUUUGGGUUUCUAGAAACCCUAAUCUGAUUGCUAGGGUUUUUAAGUGCCUAUAUAUACUCUUUUAAACCUCUUGGCCGAAUAUACCACCCCCCAUAUCAUCCAUUCACUCCAGAAAACCAUUCUAAACCCUUGCCGCAACCAUCAAUCCCAUCCUCCCUAGUUCUAAGUCCUUGCCGUGCCUCCCUAGUCCUUUUAACCCUUCUACCCUCUUCCAUAACCUUCCAUCCACCACAGCCGUGCCUUCCCACCACCAUCACCACCUUGUGCAGCCACCAAAGGAGGAGAAAGAAGGAGUGUCGUGCAGUCCAAAGGAGGAAGACACCUUGCACAUGCAAUCUGCCAUUAGUGGAGUGUUUGGAGUUCUUUCUUUCUUUGUUUCUGUUUUCAUGUUUAAUUUACAUUGUUGUUCAAUUAUGUUAGACAUGUGGAACUAAUUUCUUUUUAGUUAGAGGUGAAUUUGAAGCCAUGGACAU
RNAcentral lists this long non-coding RNA (1269 nucleotides) under Malus domestica (apple). RNAcentral describes it as "long non-coding RNA (MDOM_LNC020686)". Lineage: Eukaryota; Viridiplantae; Streptophyta; Magnoliopsida; Rosales; Rosaceae. The record is from RNAcentral.